UUUCCGUAGGUGAACCUGCGGAAGGAUCAUUAAAAAAUUGGACUCCAUUGGUGAGUUCAUUAAUAAUCCCUACCCUUUGUGAAUUUGUUUGUUUGAAUAAUUUUUUUUCCAAAAAAAAAUUAUUGAAUGUCUUUCCCUGUUUUGGUGGAGCUUGUAAAGUGAAACCAGGCAGGGGAAUGGCAAACAAUAAUUAUUUUUGAAAAAAGACCUUUUUUAAAAUUAAACUUUUUGUAUUCAUUUGUCUAAAAUUAUUUUUAUAAUAUAAAAACAACUUUUGACAAUGGAUCUCUUGGUUCUCGCAACGAUGAAGAACGCAGCAAAAUGCGAUAAGUAGUGUGAAUUGCAGAAUACGUGAAUCAUCGAAUCUUCGAACGCAUAUUGCACUUUUUUAGUUUACUAAAAAAGUAUGUCUGUUUGAGUAUCAGUAAAAUAUUCUCAUAAAAAACAUUGUUUUUUUAUGGUUAUGAGUGUUUUACAACGAUAACAAGUUGUUUCACUUUAAAUUCUUUGUUAUCAAAAAAAUCAUUAAAAGCUAAUUUUAAAGAUUUUUUAAAAUUGGAUAAAAUUUUCCCGUAAAAAGGAAUAACCUAAACAAUUUUAAAAAAUUAAAAUCGGUUUGAUUUUUUUUGAAACCCAAAGGAAAAAAAAACGAAAUUAACUUGAUCUCAAAUCAGAUAAGAGUACCCGCUGAACUUAAGCAUAUCAAUAAGCGGAGGAAAAGAAACUAACUAGGAUUCCCUCAGUAACGGCGAGUGAAGCGGGAAGAGCUCAAAUUUGAAAUCUUCAAGGUUUUACCUUGACGAAUUGUAGUUUAAAGAAGUGUUUUCUGUUGGAGUUUUGGUAAAAGUUCUUUGGAAAAGGACAUCAUAGAGGGUGAGAAUCCCGUAUUUGACCAUUAUCUCCAGCUUUGUGAUACACUUUCAAAGAGUCGGAUUGUUUGGGAAUGCAGUCCAAAAUGGGUGGUAAAUUUCAUUUAAAGCUAAAUACUGGCGAGAGACCGAUAGCGAACAAGUACCGUGAGGGAAAGAUGAAAAGAACUUGAAAAGAGAGUUAAACAGUACGUGAAAUUGUCAAAAGGGAAGCGUUUGACACCAGUGUUGUUUUCUCGAAAAUCAAUUAAAAAAGGCCGGAUUUUGUGUUGUAUUGACUUUAUCAGCUUUCUGCACUUUUUUCUUGUCUUUUUUAAUGCACUUUUCGUUUAACAAGUCAACAUCAAUUUCUUUUGUUGUAAAAGGGUCAUUGGAAGGUGGCUUUCUUUUCGGAGAAAGUGUUUAUAGCCUUUGGCCUCUGCAAUCGGAGAGAUUGAGGUCUGCAGCGUAGAUCCUUCGGGGUUAGAUACAUUUGUGCUAAGUUAUAGCCUUUCAUAGACAACUUGUUGACUAUGAUCAGUCAUGUAGCUUACUCGCUUAUGCUAUUU
Molecule: unclassified non-coding RNA, 1417 nt
Filed under: uncultured Neocallimastigales
Lineage: Eukaryota; Fungi; Neocallimastigomycota; Neocallimastigomycetes; Neocallimastigales
Description: partial contains small subunit ribosomal RNA, internal transcribed spacer 1, 5.8S ribosomal RNA, internal transcribed spacer 2, and large subunit ribosomal RNA
Rfam family: Eukaryotic large subunit ribosomal RNA (bases 661-1417)
Source: RNAcentral